UGCGCAGGUGGCCAGGUGUGUGAGGCGUGAAAGCCCGGAGCUCAACUCCGGAAUUGCACCUCAAACUACAUGGCUAGAGCAUUGGAGAGGGGAGCAGAAUUCACGGUGUAGCAGUGAAAUGCGUAGAUAUCGUGAGGAAUACCAGAGGCGAAGGCGGCUCCCUGGACAAUUGCUGACACUCAGGCACGAAAGCGUGGGGAGCAAAAGGGAUUAGAUACCCCUGUAGUCCACGCCCUAAACGGUGCACACUAGGUCUUGGAGGAUUCGACCCCUUCAGGGCCCAAGCUAACGCGUUAAGUGUGCCGCCUGAGGACUACGGCCGCAAGGCUAAA
This 332-nucleotide ribosomal RNA is filed under the name uncultured bacterium. RNAcentral's name for it is "bacterial SSU rRNA". It matches the Rfam family "Bacterial small subunit ribosomal RNA", at positions 568 to 898 of the family's 1533-position model. The record is from RNAcentral.